AGGCUUCGGCCUUAGUGGCGCACGGAUGCUUAACGCGUGGGAAUCUGCCCUUGGCUACGGAAUAACUCCUCGAAAGGGGUGCUAAUACCGUAUGAUGUCGCGAGACCAAAGAUUUAUCGCCCAGGGAUGAGCCCGCGUAGGAUUAGCUAGUUGGUGAGGUAAAGGCUCACCAAGGCGACGAUCCUUAGCUGGUCUGAGAGGAUGAUCAGCCACACUGGGACUGAGACACGGCCCAGACUCCUACGGGAGGCAGCAGUGGGGAAUAUUGGACAAUGGGCGAAAGCCUGAUCCAGCAAUGCCGCGUGAGUGAUGAAGGCCUUAGGGUUGUAAAGCUCUUUUACCCGGGAAGAUAAUGACUGUACCGGUAGAAUAAGCCCCGGCUUACUCCGGUCCAUCAGCCG
This 401-nucleotide ribosomal RNA is filed under the name uncultured Sphingomonas sp. RNAcentral describes it as "bacterial SSU rRNA". It matches the Rfam family "Bacterial small subunit ribosomal RNA", at positions 72 to 517 of the family's 1533-position model. The record is from RNAcentral. Lineage: Bacteria; Pseudomonadati; Pseudomonadota; Alphaproteobacteria; Sphingomonadales; Sphingomonadaceae.